Molecule: non-coding RNA, 673 nt
Organism: Phoenix dactylifera (date palm)
Lineage: Eukaryota; Viridiplantae; Streptophyta; Magnoliopsida; Arecales; Arecaceae
Source: RefSeq, a predicted model, not a curated record
GAAGUGCUCGAGGGAAUCACCUCCUUACCUUUCCAGUCCCUCUUCCUUAGAUCUUAUUCCCCGUAAAAGCAUGGUUGCUUUGUUUUUGUUAAUGAAAGAGAUUCCUUGUUUCUCUUCUGCUUGGUCUCAUCCCUCCUGAGGCCUCAGCAUUUUGGUCUUCUUGCAAAGCUGCGGCGCGUUUUAUUCGCUUGAUUUGAGUGGAUGUCUUCAUGGUUAUUUGCUCAAAGAGAUGUCUUAUAGUUUAGGUAGCAGCAGCAAGAAUAUGUAAGUGGAACUGCUAACUCUUGUCCCUUCACCUUUUCUUUUACCAUUUCUCUAUUUGUACUUCAUUUUCUAAAUGAAUCAGUUCUAACUUCUUGUUUGUCUUUACGUGGGAAACAAGGGGCAAGAGAUUGAAGAAAGAUGGUAAUUAUGAUGACAAAAUUAGAGGCGUCCUGUUCUUUUUUGAAAAGAAGCAAAGCGAAAUUACAACCAUUGUCAACCAGGUUGGCUUGCAGAGAAGGAAUUGUCAACAAAUCAAAGGAAGAAGUUUUUGGAAAGAGCCAAGUUUAUGCAUCCAUCUGAAGUUGACAAGAGCCAAAUCAAACUAUAGGAAAUUCUUUCAGCUCAGCUUGUAAAGGAAUCCGUGUAAAUAUUUUCAUGAAUGAAAGAAGUUCCACUUCCUUUACUGAGA